RNAcentral lists this ribosomal RNA (441 nucleotides) under uncultured bacterium. Its description in RNAcentral is "partial 16S ribosomal RNA". It matches the Rfam family "Bacterial small subunit ribosomal RNA", at positions 339 to 795 of the family's 1533-position model. The record is from RNAcentral.
CUACGGGAGGCUCCAGUCGAGAAUCAUCCGCAAUGGGCGAAAGCCUGACGGUGCAAUGCCGCGUGGGGGAUGAAGGCCCUCGGGUCGUAAACCCCUGUCAGGAGGGACGAAGAAGUGACGGUACCUCCAGAGGAAGCCACGGCUAACUACGUGCCAGCAGCCGCGGGAAUACGUAGGUGGCGAGCGUUAUUCGGAUUUACUGGGCGUAAAGGGUCCGCAGGGGGUUUGCCAAGUCUGGUGUGAAAUCUCACAGCUCAACUGUGAAACUGCGCUGGAUACUGGUGAACUAGAGUGCGCGAGGGGUGAGUGGAAUUCCUGGUGUAGCGGUGGAAUGCGUAGAUAUCAGGAAGAACACCAACGGCGAAGGCAGCUCACUGGCGCGCAACUGACCCUCAUGGACGAAAGCGUGGGUAGCAAACAGGAUUAGAUACCCUCGUAGUC